CGGUGGAUGAUGUGGUUUAAUUCGAUGCAACGCGAAAACCUUACCACCUUUGACAUGUACGGAAUCCUUUAGAGAUAGAGGAGUGCUCGAAAGAGAGCCGUAACACAGGUGCUGCAUGGCUGUCGUCAGCUCGUGUCGUGAGAUGUUGGGUUAAGUCCCGCAACGAGCGCAACCCUUGUCAUUAGUUGCUACAUUCAGUUGGGCACUCUAAUGAGACUGCCGGUGACAAACCGGAGGAAGGUGGGGAUGACGUCAAGUCCUCAUGGCCCUUAUAGGUGGGGCUACACACGUCAUACAAUGGAUGGUACAAAGGGUCGCCAACCCGCGAGGGGGAGCCAAUCCCAUAAAGCCAUUCGUAGUCCGGAUCGCAGUCUGCAACUCGACUGCGUGAAGUCGGAAUCGCUAGUAAUCGUGGAUCAGAAUGUCACGGUGAAUACGUUCCCGGGUCUU
Molecule: ribosomal RNA, 450 nt
Filed under: uncultured Acidovorax sp.
Lineage: Bacteria; Pseudomonadati; Pseudomonadota; Betaproteobacteria; Burkholderiales; Comamonadaceae
Description: bacterial SSU rRNA
Rfam family: Bacterial small subunit ribosomal RNA
Source: RNAcentral